RNA transcript from Neofelis nebulosa (Clouded leopard), 732 nucleotides. It is a transcript of the gene named trafficking protein particle complex subunit 2L, with no coding region annotated. The record is from RefSeq and is a predicted model, not a curated record. NCBI's taxonomy places the organism in Eukaryota, Metazoa, Chordata, Mammalia, Carnivora, Felidae. The transcript is spliced from 6 exons.
CGGGGCCAGGGAGAGCGCGUGACUGGCGCCCGGGUCACGUGACACGCCCGACCGGGCCUCCAAGAUGGCGGUGUGCGUGGCGGUGAUCGCCAAGGAGAAUUACCCUCUUUACAUCCGCAGCGCCCCCACAGAGAAUGAGCUGAAGUUCCACUACAUGGUACACACAUCCCUGGACGUGGUGGAUGAGAAGAUCUCCGCGAUGGGGAAGGCCUUGGUGGACCAGAGGGAGCUCUACCUGGGCCUGCUGUACCCCACAGAGGACUACAAGGUAUACGGCUACGUGACCAACUCCAAGGUGAAGUUCGUCAUGGUGGUGGACUCCUCCAACACGGCGCUGCGAGACAACGAGAUCCGCAGUAUGUUCCGGAAGCUGCACAAUUCCUACACAGAUGUGAUGUGCAACCCUUUCUACAACCCUGGGGACCGCAUUCAGUCCAGUGAUCCCCACAUGGAUUCCGACAUGUGAGAAGAGGAUGGGGCAGCAGGCCAGGGCACACACCCUGCCCUCUUGGUUUCCCGCGUAUGCCCCGGCCUUUGACAGCAUGGUGACGUCUAUGAUGAUACAAGUGUGUUGAGCGAGAACUCCGCGGCCGUUGCUUGAAGACAAGCACUGUGUACAUAAGCCAUCGUCCAGAUGGAUGUUUACUAUCCCGUGCCUGUUCCUGAGCGUCCCUGCUGCUGGGGGCAAGGCCUCGGGCACGGUGCGUGGAGACUAAAGGUCUUCUGAGAUCA